CGAGUGGCGAAUGGGUGAGUAACACGUGGGUGAUCUGCCCUGCACUCUGGGAUAAGCCUGGGAAACGUGGGUCUAAUACCGGAUAGGACCAUGCUUUAGUGUGUGUGGUGGUAAAGUUUUUCGGUGUAGGAUGAGCCCGCGGCCUAUCAGCUUGUUGGUGGGGUAAUGGCCUACUAAGGCGGCGACGGGUAGCCGGACUGAGAGGUUGGUCGGCCACAUUGGGACUGAGAUACGGCCCAG
This 240-nucleotide ribosomal RNA is filed under the name uncultured Actinomycetales bacterium. Its description in RNAcentral is "partial 16S ribosomal RNA". It matches the Rfam family "Bacterial small subunit ribosomal RNA", at positions 92 to 334 of the family's 1533-position model. The record is from RNAcentral. Lineage: Bacteria; Bacillati; Actinomycetota; Actinomycetes; Actinomycetales.